This 246-nucleotide unclassified non-coding RNA is filed under the name Hyaloscypha sp. RNAcentral describes it as "partial contains 5.8S ribosomal RNA, internal transcribed spacer 2, and large subunit ribosomal RNA". The record is from RNAcentral. Lineage: Eukaryota; Fungi; Ascomycota; Leotiomycetes; Helotiales; Hyaloscyphaceae.
AACGCAUAUGGCACCUUUUGGUCAUACUAAAAGGUAUGCCUGUUUGAGAAUCAUUUACCUUCUUGAUCCAUUGAUCAACUUGAUUGAUUGAUUGAUUUGGUAUCAGACAUGGACAUUAUUCAUCAAUGAUUGUCUUGAAUUGUGCACGAUUGUGUCGUGAUAGAAUGGCAUUGCUGCUGUGGUUGAUCGACCAAUCCCCUUUUUGUUAAUGAUCUCAAAUCAGGCAAGACUACCCGCUGAACUUAA